RNAcentral lists this ribosomal RNA (253 nucleotides) under uncultured bacterium. Its description in RNAcentral is "partial 16S ribosomal RNA". It matches the Rfam family "Bacterial small subunit ribosomal RNA", at positions 524 to 776 of the family's 1533-position model. The record is from RNAcentral.
UACGUAGGGGGCAAGCGUUGUCCGGAUUUAUUGGGCGUAAAGAGCGUGUAGGCGGUUUGGUAGGUCCGCUGUGAAAACUCGAGGCUCAACCUCGAGACGCCGGUGGAAACCAUCAGGCUAGAGUCCGGAAGAGGAGAGUGGAAUUCCUGGUGUAGCGGUGGAAUGCGCAGAUAUCAGGAGGAACACCGGUGGCGAAGGCGGGUCUCUGGGCAGUAACUGACGCUGAGGAGCGAAAGCGUGGGGAGCGAACAGG